CAACAACAACAACUACCUAAUAUAUUCCACAAGGUGGGCUUUGGGGAGGGUAAUACAUACACAUGCCUUACCCCUACCCGAAAGGGUAGAGAGGCUGUUUCCGACCGACCCUCGGCUCAGAGAAAGGGAGAGAAAAUCAAACAAACAAAAUAAAACACAUUAGUAAAUCCGGCAUAAAUCACGUUAAUAAUUAUCUAAACAUAAAACCAAGAAUAAAAUGACAUGCAAUAAUACCAAUCGUUCACUGCCAUAAGAGGCACAAUACAAGACAUAAAUCUACUAUAUAGAGCCCUACCAAACCCCACCCAGCCCCAGACAGAUGUACUAAAAAUUCUAGAAACCCCUAUCCUACAACCCUAAUACUAGAUCUCCAGAAUUUCCUAUCAAGGGCCAUGACCUUGGAAAUCCACAUUCUAGCCAUAUCCUGCCUAAUCACCUCUCCCCAAUACUUCUUAGGACUCCCUCUGCCUCGACUCGCGCCAACCACCGCCAGUCGCUCACAACUCCUCACCGGGGCAUUAGGGCUUCUCCUCCUCACAUAACAAGCGGAAGAGAAAUAAUAAAGCUACUGGGUUUAACCAAUACAAAUGUUAAAAUAGGACCACCCAGAACUGUAGUCACAGCUUCACAGACGAUCUAAGAAUACUAGAUACAAAGUCUGAAAGAUAAAUGAUACACUAUUUCUGAAAUAAGUAAAGAAAACAGGAUAAAGAGAUAGAGGUAGACGUUAAGGCCUGCGGACGCAUACAAGACUACCUUGGAUCUCCGUAUGGACUGAAGGCAGCCACCCAAGCUAAGAUCCAAAGUUGCUGCUCCGAGAUCUGCACAUAGUGCAGAGUGUAGUAUCAGCACAACCAACCCCAUGUGCUGGUAAGUGCCUAGCCUAACCUCGGCGAAGUAGUGACGAGGGUAGGACCAUACUACCAAAUAAACUUGUGCAGUUUAACAAUAUACAUCGGAAAAGAAGAACAAAAAUAUCCACUCAAGUAUGGGAGGGGGAAACAUGCUGCGGGGAAACAUCAAUUAAGAAUAAGAAGACAACAAGUAAAUAAGAGGAACACCAUAUCUCAGCUAUCAACAAGAAUCAAAAGUCAAACAAGUGCACGAUAUCACCCUUCGUGCUUUUACUCUUAUCAUCACCAAAGCAAUCAAGUCAUGAAAAUGUACAUGGCAUCACUCUUCAUGCUUUUACUCUCGUCAUCACCAUAUAAUCGGCGCGGAAUUGUAUAUCAUGCGGUAUGUCAUCACCCUUCUUGCUUUACACUCUUCCUCAUAAUUAAUACACAACAUCACCCUUCGUGCUUUAACACUCUCUCACAAAAAUAAUACACGACAUCACCCUUCCUGAUUUAACACUCUUCCUCACCCAAACAACAACCACAAAUAAUAGUACAAGGAAAUAAAUGAAAUUACGAUAAGAAUUCCGGUAAGGGAACAAUAGUUCAACAAUCAAAUUCCGGCAAGGGAACAAUAUCAAAAGAAAAUAUCAACAUCCCGGCGAGGGAGAAAGCAUUAAAAGCAACAAUAUCCCGGCAUGAUUUUCUUCUUCUUCUUUUUCACUUUUACUUCACAACUCACUUCACGACUUGAGCCAAUGCUCUAAAAGGUUGAAUUACCACUUAUACUUUCACAUUUCAUUAUACAACUUGAGCCAACGCUCCUCAACGUUCAAAUGUCACAAUUACUUUCACAAACUUUGCUCAACAAUAGAAAUCAUCACCAAGGCAUGAAUAAUACAAUGACGUCAUAAUAAUCAAAUAUAAGACUCACGGCCAUAUUUGACACCAAUGUAUAGAUAUUCGUCACCAUGCCUAUACGUUGUACUCAACAAAUACUACAUAACAAAUAAGACUCGACUCCUAAUCUCUCAAGCUAAGGUUAGACCAAACACUUACCUCAAUGACACGAACACAAUUCAAGUCUCUAUUAUUUAUUUACCUCUUGAUUCGGCCACCAAUUCGCUUGUAUCUAGCCACAAGUUUCUUAAUUACAUCAAUAAAUGCUUAUUGAAUCAAAUUCUAAUGCAUGAAAAUAAGUUUUCUAAAGUUUUACCCGAAAAUUCAAAAAUUUCCCCCGGACACACAUGGUCAAAACCCGAGGUUCGGACCAAAACCCGAUUACACGUUCCCCCACGUACCCAGAUAUAUAUUUUAUUUUAAAAUCGGACCUCAAAUCGAGGUCUAAAUCCCCAAAAUUUUAAAAACCUAGAUUUUAUCCAAAACACCAAAAUUUCCCAUGAAAAUUAUUGAUUUUGAGUUGAAAUCAUGUGAAAAGAUGUUAAGGAUUGAAGAAAAAUAGUUAGAAAUCACUUACAUUCGAUUAGGAAGAGAAAUUGCCUUUGAAAAAUCGCCCUAGAGAGUUUAUGUUUUGAGAAGAAGUGAAAAAUGAUUGAAAAUGCGUCUAAGUUAUCAACUUACAGGUUGCAGGUAUCGCAAUUGCGACUAGGGUUAGCAAUUGCGAACCCAGACUCUACUGGUAUAGCAUUGCGAAGUGACUCCCGCAUUUGCGAGGUCGUUUUUGUGAUAAAAUUGUCGCAUUUGCGAUGACUGGGCUACAACUGGAGGAUCACAUUUGCGAUAAAUUCCUCGUAUUUGCGAGGUAGGCUGGCCUUGGCUAUUCUCGCAAUUGCGACACAGUCUUCGCAUUUGCGAACUCACAUUUGCAAGAUAUGCUUCACAAAUGCGAAGCUUGCAUGCCUGCAAUAGGACAACUGAAGCCUGCAAUUUUCCCAAGUCUAAUUCUACUCCAUGGACUAUCCAAAACUUACUCGAGCCCACAGAGCUCCAAAUGAAAUAGGCACACCAACCUAAAAAUAUCAUAGGGACUCGCUCGUGCAUUCAAAUCAGCAAAAUAACAUCAACAACUAUGAAUUUAGCACCAAAAUUAUAAAAUUUCUUAAGAACUUAAAAAAUUUCAAUUCUUUCAAAUAAGGUCCAAUUCAUAUCAGUUCAAGUCAGUUUGUUACCAAAUUUCACAUACUCAUCUUAAAUCACAUAUAAGACUUGUACUGGACACUGGAACUAAAAUAUGGGCCAGUUACCAUCAAGUUUUAAAUAUAAUUCUCUUCUUUACUUCAUAAUUAAUUCAGCAAAAUAAUUUCUUUCAAAAAUUCAUUUCUCGGGCUUGGGACCCCAGAAUUCGAUUCCAUGCAUACGCCCACGUCCCAUAUUUUUUUACGGAUCCUCCGGGACUAUCAAAUUAUGGGCCUGGGUCGGUUUACCCAAAAUAUUGAGCGAAAUCAAUUUAAAUUCAUUUUAAUGGCAAAAUUUAUUAUUUUCCACAGAUUUUCGCAUAUUGGCUUUUUGGCUACGUGUUCGGACUGCGCAUGCAAAUCAAGACGAGACAGAAAGAGAUUUUUAAGGCCUUGAAAUACUAAAUUUAUUUUUAAAACAAGUGAUUACCUUUACAAAGGAGGAUAUCUAUAAAGAUAGGUUCAUUGAGAUAUAACUAUGUUAUCGAUUUGCUUGAGUAUUUUACCAAAAUAUUGUUUGUUUUCCUUCUAUAAUAUGUAUCUCAUCUCUCUCUCUUUUUUCUUGGAAGAAUAUAAUUACCAAAUAUGAAAGUGGAGCUUGUAUACCUUUAAUGAAAAUAUUCUAAUUACUGGGAUAUUAUCUCCUCGAUUGACUCCUUCUCGGAUUAUUUAAAGAACAAAUUAUACUCUAUGUCACUUGGGCCAUACAGCCCAGCAAAAAAUAGCCCAUAUUUCAUGCCUUUACUUGCUAUAGACCAUGUUGGCUAACUUAUGAAAUUAUUUUUUCACCCAGUAGCCCAUACAUUAACAUAACCGUUUUAAGAAUUUAAAUUUUUAUUUCUUUGUUGCUUUCUUCCUCACGCUUUUCUCGCUCUCUCUUUCUCUCGAUUUUCUCAGUCCAUAACCGACUCCAUUGUUGUGUUCAAGUUUCUUUUCGAGGUUUCUAUCUUAGGUUGAGGUAAUUUUCGUUUUCUUUUAUGAUUUUCCUACAAUGGUUCUUUUGAAUUUUGUUUUGAUUUUAGUUUUGCUUUUUCUGAUUAUGACAAUUUUUUUCAAUGUUGGUGUGUUUUUUCGGACGAUUUUGUGUUCCUUGUUUUUGCGUUCGAGACUUAAACUUGAUGAAACGAAAUGCAUGGUUUGUUAUUUCGAAUUUUAGGUUAAUUUUUUUGGUUUUUUGAGUUUUGUUAAAAUUUUGGGAAAAUUGGCCUUUGCUUUGAGUUUAUGGCUUUUAUUUUUGUUUAGAUUUUGAGUUUUGUUACAGUUUCAUUUGUUUGUUUUGCUUCAGUUGUGUUCAGUUUUGGUAAAGCUUUGUUUUGGCCUCUGAUUUUUGUUUAUGGCAUUUUGGGUUAACUUUUGAGUUUUGUUACAAUGAGUUUUGUGUUUGCUUUAACUUUUGUGUUUGUUUUGUUAAAGCUUUGUUUGUCUAGUUUAUUGUAGAUAAUGCGUUAAAAAAUGUCUGCUUCUAAAAACAAAAUGAAGAUUUCCGGAAAAGGCGUUCGGUUCGAUUAUGCGAAACGAUUGAGGGAGUUGCCCUCAAGCCUUGAUUCAGAAUGUAAUGUAAAUGUCCCAUCGCCGGAAGUUAAUAGCCCUGAUUUUGAUGCUGCUCCUAAAAACUUGCAAGCAGAGAGCAGUCGGAUGACUCGUUCUCAAAUGAGAAAUACUGCCUCCCCAAUUAAAUCAAGGGUGACUUGCCCUCACCCUCUUCUGAAGCAAAUAAGCGUGUGCAAGCUCCCAAUGAUGAUGAUUUCGAGUCUCCUCCUCCUCCAAAUAUAUUGCAACAAGGGAGCAGUCGAAUGACUCGUUCCCAAACAAGCAAUACUCCUACUCAUGUUAACAUUGUUAGACCAAGAAGUAAGAAAUGCAGCAAACCUACAAAAUCAACAAAUAAGCUGAAAGACGAGUUGUUUAAUGAAGAUGAUGUGAAUAAGAGAAAAGCUGAGCUGAAGGUAUUCCCUAUUUUGAUAUUUAUUUAUACAUGGUUAUACAGUUUUAUACAAACUUAUACACCUGUUUAUACAAGUACUUAUAUACAUAUAUAUACAGCUUUAUAAGAUGUGUUAGUAUAUUUUUUGUUGUUGAUAUAUUUCUUGUUAUUUUCCUAUAUGCAUGGUUGGAGAUUUCUAUAUACAACCCGUUGAUUAUUUCUACAAUAGGAUUAGUUCCCAUACUGAGCCUGAUAUUGUGAACAUUUUGAAGCAAUGUUUGACUGAUACGCAGCUUCAAAUGUUCCGUGAUAGUUGUUUUGGGUACUUCUUGGACCUCCCUCAAUUUAAGAUUCAAAUCAACUCAUUCAUUGUAUAUUAUUGAGGGAAUUCGUCCCAGGACAUGAAAGGGAGUUGUGGGUGAAGAUUAACGGUUGUUUGCUGCGGUUUGGCAUCAGAAUCAACUCAUUCAUUGUAUAUUAUUGAGAGAAGUUGUCCCAGGACGUGAAAGAGAGUUGUGGAUGAAGAUUAACGGUUAUUUAUUGCGUUUUGGCAUCGGAGAGUUUGCUCUUAUCACUGGUUUGAAGUGCGUAGACGACGAUGCCUCCUUCCAUGACAAACCAGAUGUGAAUAGAUUGUUGAAAGAGUAUUUUCCAGGAGAUGGAAAAAAGGCCAUAACAAGGGGGUAGCUUCUUGAUCGCUUUAAGCAGAAUGAGUGGAAGUCUGAUGAAGAUGCCUUCAAGAUGGCCUUGAUGGUUUUUGUCCAUCAUUUCAUCUUCUCUGAUGCCAAUAAUCAUGGUAUCACCAAAGAUGAUUUUGAUAUCAUUGAAAGUGGUCAAUAUAAGAUGUUUCCUUGGGAAAAAAAUCAUUUGAAGUUGUUUUAAGGACAAUGAGGGACAUGCAAUGCGUUUAUUUGACAAUGUAUAGGCUUGGAGGUUUGCCGCUUGCUUUACAGGUUUGGUUUUUUGAGUGUUUCUCAAUGGUUGAUAAGAAUCUAGUUGUUCGCGUUGGCACAAAUGUGCCAUGCAUUCUUAAUUGGAAAGUGACUAACAGUCCAUCAUAUGCGGAUUUGAGUGGUGGCGCGAUCAUGUGUAGUGUCGACAAGGUAAACAUUUUGUACCAUAAUACUUCUUCAUAUAUUAUUUCAGUGUUUCUAUAUUAUUCUACUGUUGUAAUCCUAUUUUCUUCUUCUUGUAGUUGAACUAUAGUAACAUUUCCCCUAGUUCUGAAGAGAUAUUCGCCUUGGCACAAAUAUGCCACGCAUUCUUAAUUGGAAUGUGACUAACAGCCCAUCAUAUGCCGAUUUGACUGGUGGUGUGAUCAUGUGUAGUGUGGACAAGGUAAACAUUUUGUACCAUAAUACUUCUUCAUAUAUGAUUUCAGUUUUUCUGUAUUAUUCUACUGUUGUAAUCCUAUUUUUUUCUUCUUGUAGUUGAACUAUAGUAACAUUUCCCCUACUUCUGAAGAGAUGUCAAGUCUGAACAUUGACACACUUUUUGAAGUCAAUGCCAAUGAUGUUACAUCAGGGGAGGUGCCUGUUGUUCCUGCAUCUCACACUGAUGAUUUUGUUGCUACACCUUCACCUUGUCCUAAUGAUGGUGCAUUAGGGGAUGUGCAUGUUGUUCCUUCAUCUCACACUGCUGAUUUUGUUGAUACACCUUUACCUUGUCCUCGGCAUAUGGAGCAACAGUCUACUAGACCUUAUCUUCAAAAUGCAAACCAACAGUUUGAACAACCUUGUCCUCAGACUACGAAGCCCGGACCUAGUCCAAGUUAUGAUCCUUUUGUGCGCCUUGAUCAUUUGAGUGAUGAAGUUGAGAAGCUGAGGAGUGAUGUUGGAAAGGUACUGGACCUUUUGCUUUUCUGUAGAUUAUAAUUACUUUUUGGUUAUAAACAUUGUUGUUUAUUUUCUUUUGUUGUAGUUGAGUGAUACAGUGACGACACUCAACAACUACGUCAUUUCUUCCUUUGAAUAUUGUUGUUUGUUUGCUUUUGUUGUAGUUGAGUGAUACAGUGACGACACUCAACAACUACGUCAUUUUUUCAUUUGGAAAAGUGUUCAAUUUUCUGGACAAUAAGGAACCCAAGCAAACAAGAGAUGAUUUUACUGAUUCAAAGGUAAUUGUUUAUUGAUAAAACCAAAUCAGUCAAUAGUUAUUCCUUCUCUGAACUCAACAUGCCUUCUCUUUCUAUUGUUUUUUAUUAGAUUCGUCAGCCCGUGUUUGAUGAUAAUACAUCUGGUCUUGGCGAAUUUGAUGGCUAUCAAUAUGAUGUUGUUCCUAACUUUGUCAAUGAAAUGAAACAAGAUAAUGUGGUAGCUGACGAGGGAGUUACUGAUGGUGUUGAUAAUAAUAUUUGUUCUGCUUUCUUUUCUGGUAUGAUUUUUCUUUUCUUUUUUUGAAGUUUUGUAUUAUUUGUGUUUCUAUUUCUAAGGGACAUCAGGUGAUGUCAAGGGUGACACAUUUUGGGAUGAUAUUGGUGAUGAAGAUUUAGCUUAGAUGUCCCAACUUGUAGUUCACAAACAAUCGAUCAUAGAAGUAGAAGAUUACAUUUCUCUUGGCCAUUCAGUUCGACAGAGAAUACCAGGAAAAUAUACCAAAUCUCCAUAUGCCAGGUUUUGAUUCUGGAGAAUCAAAAUCCGCGCCCAAGCUCAUUUUUUAUAUCAAGCAUCCUUUCACAAUCGAAAUUGAUGAUUUUGAUACAUUGUCUCCAUUGGCUAAAUAAUUUUGCGCAUUUGUUGAUAAUGGGAUGGAUACGAGGCGAAUGUAUCUUCAGUCUCUUCAAUAUUUCAUUUUCUGAUUUUAUACUUGUCAAUGAAUGUAGUUCUGAUUAGUUUUUAUUUUUGUGAUUUGAAGUGCCAAAUAUAUAUAUCCCGGUGAAGUAAAUAAUCUUGUGGAAGGUUUUACUUUUGGCUCGUGUUAUGUUACCAAGAAGGACUGGUUUCACUCACUUGUAUACUGCGUCCGUCUUUGAUUGACACGGCAUUUUAAUAAAUUUCUGUUCUAAUUACCUUUUUAUUUUUGUUGCAUAUCUUUGUUGUUUUGAGACUUGCAUAGUGUAUAAAGAUUUGUAUAAUCACAGUAUAAGACUGUAUAAGAUUGUAUAAAUAUGUAUACCUAUGUAUAAUAGUGCAUAAAGUUCUAUAUUUAAAAAAACUGGCAGUGAUGGUUGUUCGGUUUUAUUUCUUGUCUCAGCAUCUCGAUGUCUUCUUUUAUUAUUUGAGGAAGAGGGGAAAAUAUGGGCCAAGUGUUGCCAUGCGGUUUACUACAACCAAAUUUGCCUUUGGUAGCAAAAUCAACUAAAAUAUGGGCCAGGUGUUGCCAUGCGGUUUACUACAACCAAUUUGGUAACAAAAUCAACUCCCUAUACAAAGAUUUCAAAGUGAAUCAAGAUCCUUCAGUUAUUCCUGACGGGCAUGAGAUAGAAGAGUACAUCAGAGGUUAUUAUUGUGACGCAAAUGUCCCAUGGCACACUGUUGAGCAUGUCUUAUUCCGUAUCUUUGCGAAGUGCGGAAGAGCAAAAUUGGGACAUUGGGUUUUGUGGGUGUUUACGUUCGUAGAUAGAUGCAUCUACAUCUAUGACUCUAACCGUGAGGCUCUUAAUGAUAGAUAUGUUAUGGAUGCUGCAUUACCUUAUGCAAUUCUGAUACCUUAUUUCUUGAAGAGUUCUGAUUUUUAUGUCGAGAAGAAGGGCAUUGAUUUGAACAAUGGUGCAUAUACCGAUAAAUCCCAUUCUGAUGCUUUGCAGAUCAAUCUGGUUAAUAAUGUUCCCCAACAGAUCAAAUGGUAGGUUAAUUUCAAUUAUUUUACUAUUUUACUAUUAUGUACGUAUUUGAAUCUAAUUCAUUUCUUAUUAAUUACAGUGAUUGUGGUGCUUUUGUUGCUGGCUUUGCUUAGUAUUUCAUCCUUGGUAAAGAAAUUCGAAAGGAUAAUUUUGACAUCGAGACACUUCGCACCAGGUGAGGAUCUCUGUUAUGGGAUUAUGGAAGGAAAAAACAACAGUCUGGUGCAAUUAGUGAUGAUGAAAAGUGGGGAUCUCUGUUACGGGAAUAUGGAAGGAAAAAAUAACAGUCUGGUGCAAUUAGUGACGAUGAAAUCACAGGGAGACUUUUGAAGAAGAGGAAGAGGGGGAGACCAAGAAAGUAGUUCUGUUAUUUUUAUUUUACUGUAGUCGUUCUAUGUAUAACUUGCCUUGUAACUAUUCUGUUACUUGUGAGAAUACCUUAAAGGAUAUUAUAGAUGUGAAUAUAAUUUGAGGCAGUCAUUACACAUUGUUGCUGUGAAUGAAUUACAUCUUAAUAAUAUUUUCAAUUGCUUUUGUCCUUUACAUGCUAUUCGACUUUGCUUCUUUCACCAUUGUUUUUUUCCAAAUGCAUUGCAGCCUAUUUUUCAGUUGAUUUUGUCCUUUAACAAAGUAUGUAUUAUUAUUAUGGUUGCAGAUUUGUCAAUGUAGCAGGGUUUAUACAUAUGUAUACAAUAAUAUACACAGUUAUACACACUUAUACAAACUUAUACUCUCAUUUAUACAUCUGUAUACAUGUAAUACCAGUGAUUGUUUGCAGUCCUGUUAUGAAUUUCCAAAAUCUAUCAAAAUAUUUAGUACCAUUAAAAAUAGGAAGAUAAUUUUAUUGGAAAAGAGUCCUGUUUUGAAUUUCUACAAUCUAUCAAAAUAUUUAGUACCAUUAAAAACAAGAAGAUAAUAUUAUUGGAAAAGCAAAACAUGUAUAAUGAAACAUGUCAAUUUCUUGCGAAGCUUAACUAAUCAACAUUUGUAACUAUAUUAUUCUGAAAUUUAACUACUCAACAUGACAAAAAUGUAAUAGGAGUGUUUUGUUUUCAACUAUUUAUUUUGGUCGAUUCCUACAUGUUUUCCUAUUGUGACCACCUUGUCCACACACAGAACAUGAAAAUGCCCNNNNNNNNNNNNNNNNNNNNNNNNNNNNNNNNNNNNNNNNNNNNNNNNNNNNNNNNNNNNNNNNNNNNNNNNNNNNNNNNGCUUGAGUCUUUCCUUUCUUGGCCUUCCUGCAUUCCUUCUUCCUUUAGGUGGUAGGACCACAUCUUCCAUCACCUCUGUUGGGAUUACCCAUAAACACUCAUCUGGCAUCAGAUUCACUGGAAAUUGAUAAGUGCUAAGGAGUUUAUCUUUCUUGUAGUAAAAAGAGCAAUACUGGCCAGGUUUCAGCUGCUGGUUCUUCAAAACCGCCCAAGUAUGCGGACAUGGAAGUUCAUCCAUUUGAAAUUUUCCGCCACUGCAUGUUCCCUCUUCGAGGCACACUAUGUUUCUCCUUACCCCUUCAAGCACAUUAUAUAACUGAUCUAGCAGGCCUUACCUGCAAAAGUUUUUUUUAAAAAAAAUAAAAAAUUAAAGAACAGUAAAAUGCAAGUCGGUAGUGCCAAGAUUCAUUAUAUUUUGAUUCAUUUUACAGUCAUUUGCUCCGAUGCAAUCAGAUUUUCCCGAUGGAGUUUGUCGUACUUUUCGCCAAGCUCUGCAGAUGUCUCCAUUGCACUUUUUCUGUUUUUGUCAUUCUACUGUUGUAGCAAAUUAGUCAUGUACUCCAACAAUCGCAUUAUUGGUAACUCUCUAGCAUCCUUGUUAGCUGCAUUAAUUGACUCUGCAAUAUUAGAAGUCAUUACCAUUGACCUUUUCACCUUGGGAUAUGCUAUAGACCACCUUUCGUACCCAAUUUCGAACAAGUAAGGCUGCACCCUCGGAUCAAUUUUGCACAACUCUGUCAUAUGGUACUCAAACUUCUUUAUCGUGUAAGCUCUUGCCAAAGUAAAUAAGAUAUCCUUCGAUUGUUUGUGAUGUUUCUUGAAUGUGCACUUUAGCAAACUUCUCUAUCGUGUAAGCUCUUGCCAAAUCAAAGAAGAUAUCCUUCAAUUGUUUGUGAUGUUUCUUGAAUGUGCGCUUUACUUUCUGCCACAAAUGAAACAUGCAAAUACAAUGUGGUACUUCUGGGUACACAACUUUUGUGGCAUUGAAGAUGCUUUCAUUUCUAUCUGAAACUAUACACAUCCCUUCCCUAACUCCAAAAGUACCUUUUAUCUAGAGAAAGAACCCCUCCCAAUAUUUGUUAUUCUCUGAAUCCACAAUUGCAUACGCAAGUGGAAUGAUUUUUCCUAUUUAUACAUAAAUAGAUAUUAAGAUUCAGAUGGCAAAUUAGUCUGCAUAUACCAACUGCCAAAUUUAUACAAAUCUUAUACACAGUUAUACACAAUUAUACAGAUUUAUACCAACUGCAAACUUUAUAAAAACAGCAGCUGUGAAAUCCUAUACACUUUUAUACAUGAAACUUGAACAUUAUACAAACUGCAGAAACAACAUAGAUGCAGUCAACUCACCAGCUCCAUCUUGUAUGCAAGCAGUCAAUAUGGUACCUUAUAUGCUGCUUUAAGGAAGCUCCCGUCAACGACCAUUAUCAGUCUGCAAUGCUCCCAGCCCUUGAUAGAUGCAUAUAGCGAAACAUAUGCAUAAAGAAAACAUCUGUCUUCUGAUUUGUGCAACUUUGUAACAGAUCCUGGAUUUGUGUGCUCCAACAUAUAAAAAUACUUCGGCAGCUCCUUAUAUGAAUCACUCGGACUCCAUCUUAUCAUUUCCAUUGCUAUUUCUUUAGCUCUCCAUGCUUUCAUGUAGCUCACUUCAAUUCCGUGUGGCUUUUGUAUGCCCUCUAUUAUAUCAUUUGCGGUAUAAACUUUUUUUGGAUUAACAUACUUUUCCUUGAUUAUACUAGCAAUUAUACCCAAAGUAGCUUGACGUUGUGUUAAGUAUCUUUCACCAUAGCCGCAUGUGUGAUUAUUAUUGUAACUUCUCACUUUGAAUAUGUUUGUCUUGAAAACGGUAGAAGAUUUGAAACUCCAAGCACAGUUGUCAUCCAGACAUGUAAGGUGAUACCUAGUAUUAUACAUCAUUCAACUUUUAAAUACACUUGUAUACAAAUUGCAUAUAUACUAAUUUUAAUACCCUAUAUACAAAUACAUACUACUUUAUACAACAGAGUAAUGACAUACUUUGUUGCGCUUGAUCUCUUCACCUUGAAUUGGAACCUCUCACGUACAGCCAAAUUCUUCAUCACAUUCAUAACUGUCUCUUUAUCCUUAUAAACUUGAUCUUCCUCAACAAACUCGUUCAAUAUAUCAUCUAUUAUAUCCUUGUUUUCACUAAAUUUCGUGUUUUCAAUAAAUUCGACAUCAAUAAUCUCAAUGCUAUCAAUUGUGGAUACAUCUCUAGAAAUAUUUUCACUCAAUUUCGUGUUUUCAAUCAUUUCAAUAUCAAUAAUGUUAGUGCUUUCAGUUGUUGAUACAUCUCUAGAAUUUCAAUUUGUAGCAACCAAACAACUGGAGCUUGAAGCAACCACAGAACUUGUAACAACCAAAUGAUUUUCAGAAAUCUCCUUCACUGUCACAAACAGGGGAUAUUCAGUGAAAUUCAAGUUUUUUUUUCUUUAAUCCUAUAUACACCUUAACUCCUGUAAAGUUGUAGAUCGUGAUCGGUGGCAAACCAACAUUUGGCACAAAGUUAAUCUCUAUUGCGUUUAAAUCUCUAUCGAUCCUAAUCUGUUCCGAAAUAGUUGCAACUAAAUUAUUGUAGUUGAAUGUGGACUCAAUUAUUACACAAUCACUGAUGAAAUCACAAACUUGUUUUCUUCCCAUUCCCCACUGUGAAGAAGGUAAAUAGGGAAAAUCUCUAUAUAACAAAAAAUUGAAAUCAAAAUUGCUGCAAAAAGGAGAAUUGCAUUACUUCGUAUUAAAAAAAAACUGAAUAAAUUGUAGAUGAAGAAGAAAUGCUAGGGUUUUCGUACCUGCAUUUAUCGCAGGAUCUCGUUUAGAAGUAUUUUGGGAAGAAGAUUGGAAAGAAUCUGAGAAAAUCCAGUUGAAGGAGAGAAAAUCGCGGAUGGUAAUCUCAAAAUACUGGAAAUAACGUCCCUUUUCAGAUUUGGGCAUCUAAUUUGUGGGCUACACUGAAUAAGAGAAAAUCACGCUUGAUAAUCUCAAAUUACCGGAAAUAACGCCCCUUUUUCAGAUUUGGGCCUCUAAUUUAUGGGCUACUGAUUUGUAAAGUUAAAUAUGACUAUAAAGUUGAAAAGGAGGCAGCCCAAUUAUUUUAAUGUGAAAUUUUCCUUGAUUAAAGACCACAAGACUUUAGGAACUCCAUUGAUCUUUUGUCCAAAUACUUUUCACAUUUCUAAUUUUAGCAGAGAUAUAAUAAUUUCAAUUUUUUAAUAAUUUAAAAACCUAAUGGACGAAAAAAAGAGACCUACUGGACUUCCAAUUUCCAUGACCGCUAAUCACGCACCAAAUAACUAAACCCAAGAAAAAGGAGAAAAAAGAAUGUGAAAAAGAAAGAUAGAGAGAGAGUUGAUUGGUCAAACUCAGGGUCCUUUUGUUUGGCUUUUUCUUUUUAGUUUUCUCUUGUGAAAGGAUUGCUCGAUCAAAUAUUAUAAGGUUGACAAUAUAUUAGUAUAGUUUACUUAGUUUAAGUGAACUAAUUGUCCCCUUUCUGUCGUCUAUCCCAAGAGAUGUGGCAUAAUCACUCCGUUAAUUUCUAUCAAAGUAUGCUUCUUAUUUAAUUUGUCCAUUAACAGUGGAGAAUUAAUUAUUGAUCAUUUUGACCGAUCAAAGAUUGAAUAGCUUAUGCAUUAAGUUUCUGCUAUGCACAAUGUUCGAGAAGGGCUCGAUCGAUGAUCAGGAUUUGAAAUCAAUAGAAGAACUUCAAAUAUCAUUUUGUUUUCGCGAGGACUACAGAAGAUCUCUUAAAAGGAAAAAAUGAAAGUAAAAAAUCAAACAAUCGGUAUAUUUCUGAAGAAUAUCCAAGACAAUUAAACGCCUAUACAAUUUUACACGCACUAUUAACAGGUAAAAAAAAUUAAAAAAAUUAUUGUAUGAUACACGUGUUUUAAAUUAAUUUAUGGGAGUAGUUAGUUUAACAAACCAUGUCUAAUUUGUGGCUCUAGAUCUUGUCUUGUACAUGGUAACACUACCCCCACCACAUUUUAGUGCAAUUCUUGGAGUACACAGUCAACCAAGCCAUAAUUUAUUGUAGGUCUAAGUCAUUAUAGGACAUGGCCUGCAACAAAGGUCCAAUGCUACCAUGCUACAUCUUUAACACUGUGAUGCUAUGGUUAUAAUUGUAUUUUGUAUUUAAGGUAGUGGCGUAGCGAUCAAUAAGAUGAGCGAAAAAUAUGAAAGAUGAUAAUAUAAAUUUUAGUAGAGACAAAAAACAUUAAGUAAUCUCUUUAUAUCAGUCUAGUUACCUAAUAUUUGUACUAGUUAGAAGUACUUGAUAUCCGGUAAAAUAAUUUAGGUGCGAUCAAGUUGACAUGUUUACCAUGGUUAUAAAGAAAAGUCUGCAUUCUUUAAUAACGUCCAUCCCCUAGAAGACAACGUUCCCUCUUAAGAACAUAACGCUAUAGACUUUUGGAUUGUUAAUUUCUCAUAAAGUAUGCACAUGCAUCUCUUUAAGAACACAUAACUAACUCUACUGGACUUUUUGCACCAAUUCAUAAAUCUUGUUUAACAUGAGUGGUUGAACUGCACACUUCCUAAUAGUUCUUUCUUUGAAAAAAUUGGAUCAAAAUUUAACUUCUUUCUAAUUUUUUUGGGUCGAUAUUAUUUUGAUGCAUUGAUUAUAAUUCUUCAAAUAGUUCAUCAACUUUUCAGCCAAGGUUCAUAAAUAGUUAGAAAUAUUUAUUUCUAAUACAACUAUAAGUAUAUACGCCAACAAUUUGUAGGUUGUGGUCGCAUUGAUCAUAAAUCCAAAUAAAGAAUGGAGGCACCUAUCAAUACAUUUUGAAAUAAAUAUGAGUAAAUACAAAGUAGUAAAAAGCAGAAAAUGAGGCAGAAGAGGAAAAUAUAUAGAGUGGGAUGUGCCAUUAUUUUCAACCAACUCAACUGCCAAUUACUUCCCCACCCAUCCAAAUCCAAUUAGCAAUCCACCUUCUUUUUCUUUUAAUUUCCAUGUAUGCUUUUAAUUAGCAAUCCACCUUCUUAGAACCACCGUUUAAUUUUGAUGUUGAAUCCUAUGUAAUCAACCACAAGAGUGAAUAAUAUGUUUUUGUAAAGCAUCUAACUACUGAUGCUUGUAAUGCAUUAGCUUCACUAGGGAAUCAAUGUGCCCUAACUGACACAAACAAUAUCUGUAAUAUUUUACUUCUACCAUAGUACUAAUAUAAAAUAUUUUGUUCCGGUUAAAGAAAAAUUAAGUAUGAUGAAGUGAUAUGUAUCUUCACUUAAAGCUGUAUUGACAUUAGUCUACUAAACAAUAGAUGAAAGAGUUAGGCACAUGGUAUGUCCCCCACCCUUUGAAUUGCCACUCUUUCCUCCCCGCUUCCAAUUUUCCCUUCAUCUUCUCACUCCUUUUCUUCUUCUUCUUCUUUAUAUUAGUUUCUCUUUUUCUUCCCCUUUUUUUAAAGUUUCAAUGGCCUCUUGUUUGGUAAGAAGGAGUGGGCCGAGAGAAAAAGCCCCCCGGGUGUCCUUUUCUUUUUAUUCCGCAACCUCAAAUACACUACUAGAACUCCGGAAAAAAACAACCAAAAUUUAGCGAUCAAUAUUGGUCUGCGGCAAAAAACGAUCAAAGUUGGUCGCUAAACCAGCGAAAAUAAUAAAAUAAAUAAAAAAAUAAAAUAGCGACCAAAAUUGGUCUCUAAACUAAUCAAAAUGUUGACUGAACUGGUCAUACUUGCUAGGUCAAAUGUUUACUGAGAUUAGCGACCAAUGUUGGUUGAUAAAGAGGGACCCACCUAAAAAAUAAUAAUUAUAUUAUUAUUUAAAAAAAAUAUAAAAUAUAAAUAUAUAUAAUAUAAAAUUGACGACCAACGUUGGUCGCUACUUAGAGGGUAGGCAGAUAGCGACCAACUUUGGUCACUUAAAUGGGACCCAGUUAUACAAUAAUUAUAUUAUUAAUUUAAAUAUUAUAUAAAAUAUAAUUAAAUCUGAUUUAAAUUUAGCGACUAAAUUUGAUCGCUAAAUUAAAUUCAUGAAUAAAUAGCGGCCAAAGUUUAUCUCUAUUUAGGUCAAGAAUGGUCAAAAUUAUAAAUCACUUUCUUAUUUACUAUCUAAAUAAGUUGGUCUUUAUUUAGGUCAAUAAUAGUCAGUAUUAAAAAUCACUUUUGUAUUUACUAUCUAAAUAAUAUAAAUGUAAGUCGUUAAUACUUUUGUAUUAGGUAAUAUUGUAUCGAAUAUAGCUUAUAUAUAUAAUAUAUAUAUACUUACGCUAUAUUAUGCACUGAGUAUAAGUGUAUUAAGUAAUACAUUAUCGAAUAUAUAUGUAUCUUUCACCAUAGCCGCAUGUGUGAUUAUUAUUGUAACUUCUCACUUUGAAUAUGUUUGCCUUGAAAACGGCAGAAGAUUUGAAACUCCAAGCACAAAAGUGUAUUAGGUAAUACUGUAUCGAAUAUGACAUAUAUAUUUAAAUAUAUAUAUUUUAAAUUUAAUUUAAAUUAUAUAUAUAUAUAUAUAUAUAUAUAUAUAUAUUUAUUUAUUUAUUUUAAAUUGAAUUAUAAUUAGUUUAAUUUUUUUUUGAUAUAGCUACCAAUGUUGGUCGUUAUUCUAGUCAAACGGUCAGAAUUUAGCGACCAACUUUGGUCGCUAUUUUGGUCAAAAUAGUCAAUACACAUUUGCUAUCAAAUUUAGUGACACGUGGUUGGUCACUUUUAGUAAAAACAGAGUUAAAAAACAUGUUUUCCCUAACAUUAUCUUAUUUUCUUCAAAAAAUUUCUAAACCCUCUCUUCUCUCUCACAUACUCAAACCCCACCUCCUCUUCCGUCUCCCUCCAGCAGCAGCGCCACCGACGCCCGCCGGCGGCAGCAGCUCUGCCGGUGUCCUCCACUGCCCAGGUAAGUUUCUCUCUCAUUUCUUUAUUUUUUUAGAAAUAUACUGGCUUUAAUUUUUUUAAUUCCUUCUAGUUUGAACCCUAAAAAUUAAUUGUUCUUAACUAAAUUAAAUCUUUGAUAAUUGUUAGUAGCUAAAAUAUUUAGUUUUACCUACUAAUUUGGGAAAGAACUGGUUUGAAGAGAAGAAACCCUAAAUUUUUAGCUUGUACAUAUCAGACUUGGAAGAAAGUUAAGUAACAAAACUUCCUAUAAUCUUUGUCAUCAUAGAGUCUUAUGAUCCACGUUUCAUGGGAACUGCCACGACCGACGUAAAAUAUUCCAUCUCCAUCAACCUUGUCGUUAUCAAUCAAACUUCUUUUCCUCUUGGAAAGUGAAGUAGAGAAUUUCUCUAUGACCUCUUUUUUAUACUUAGGAAAUGUUAAAUCCUAUCUACACCAUCACUAUUUUAAAACACAUGUCGUUGCACUCUCAUUAUCAUUGUAGCUAAUAAAAUCAACAAUUGAUCAAAGACGCACCCUGUCAGGUACUGUAUCCUAGUUAUUCUCUCUAUCCAAGUUCAUCCCGAGUCGUAGUACCACGAAGAGGUUGAUGACGUUAUUAGAAAUGCAAUAGAACUUCCACCAAGAAUAACUAAGACACAGUACCUAGUGGAAUGUGCCUUUAAUUGUUCUUCUCAUUAUAGCGACAAUGAUGAUGAGAAGGCAAUGGAAUGUGUUUCAAAUAGUGAUGGUGUAUGUAGGAAUCUAAUAUUUUCUAAGUAGAUAAAAGAAGAGCUUAUAGAGGAAUUAUCUUCUUCACUUUCCAAGAGAAAAAUAAGUUUGAUUUAUAGUGACAAGGUUGAUGAAGACGGAAAGUUUUCCGUUGUUCGUCACAAUUCCCAUAAAAUGUGGAUCUUAAGACUCUAUGAUGACAGAGAUUAUAGAAAGUUUUGUACUCAACUUUCUUUCGAGUCUGAUCCGUACAAGCUUAAUGUGAUAUUGGUGAUAUUUCUUCGGAUUUAGAUAAUGAUUUGACCGACAAAAGUAUGAAAAUGCCGUACAAGCUUAAUGUGAUAUUGGUGAUAUUUCUUCGGAUUUAGAUAAUGAUUUGACCGACAAAAGUAUGGUAAUGCUCUUAAAAAAAUUAAAGGUAAAAUAUUUCUCAGCAUCCUUCUCUACCAAGAAAAAUAUUUUACCUUUAAUUUUUCUAAGAGCAUUAUCAUACUUUUGUCGGUCAAAUCAUUAUUUGAAUCCGAAGAAAUAUCACCAAUAUCACAUUACGCUUGUAUGGAUCAGACUUGGAAGAAAGUUGAGCAUAAAACUUCCUAUAAUCUUUGUCAUCAUAGAGUCUUAAGAUCCACGUUUUAUGGGAACUGCGACGACCAACGGAAAACUUUCCGUCUUUAUCAACCUUGUCCUGUAAAUCAAACUUCUUUUCCUCUUGGAAAGUGAAGUAGAUAAUUUCUCUAUAACCUCUUUUAUUUACUUAGGAAAUGUUAAAUCCUACAUACACCAUCAUUUUUUUGAAACACAUGUCGUUAUCUUCUCAUUAUCAUUGUAGCUAAUGAGAUCAACAAUUGAUCAAAGACACACUCCGUUAGGUAUUGUAUCCAAGUUAUUCUCUGUGUCAAAGUUCAUCUUGAGUAAUAGUACCACGAGGAUAAUCACCAAAGCCUCCAGACAACUUUAUGAUACCAAUGAAGCAAGAUGAGCUAUUCAAUGAAACACGUAUGGUAAAGAAGGAAAAAAAGACUAAUUCACAAAGGAGGGUCGAGCCUCGAGUACAUACAUGUAAGUUUUUACUUUUCAUUAAGUAUUUUGAUUUACUUUUAUAUAAAUUUUAAAAUACUAAUUCAAUAAAAUUUUUCAUAUAGGUUCGCUUCACAGCUGAUGUGGGGGAUUUCAUACGCACUCAACCACCUUAUGAACCAGGCGAGGCAAUCCAACUUUCGGACGAGGAUGCUGAAAGAACACCCCUUCAGUACUUUAUAUACUUUGAACAAGACAAAAAUAUAGUUCUAUUGUGUUAGUUCUCUUUAGUUCGAAUGGGCUUGUGAUAAGCAUUAACUUAGUUUUGUUAGCUUAAUGUGUUAGUUCUAUUGAACUUUAUACUUUGUUGCUUUAAUUGUUGUUGUUGUCAGCAUAAAAUGCAUGUUUAGGAUGUUUGGUAAGCUGGCAGGUGGUGUAGCUGCCAAAACAAGCAGUUUCUGCCAAAAAUAUACCAAGAAAAGCGACCAACCUCGGUCUCUAUUUGGUCGCUUUUCAGUUAAAAGAAAAAUAUUUCUUGGAAAUAGCGACCAACCUUGGUCGCUACUAGGGGUGUACAAAGAAAACCGAUAAACCGCACCAACCCGAUAAUCCGAAUCAAACCGAGANNNNNNNNNNNNNNNNNNNNNNNNNNNNNNNNNNNNNNNNNNNNNNNNNNNNNNNNNNNNNNNNNNNNNNNNNNNNNNNNNNNNNNNNNNNNNNNNNNNNNNNNNNNNNNNNNNNNNNNNNNNNNNNNNNNNNNNNNNNNNNNNNNNNNNNNNNNNNNNNNNNNNNNNNNNNNNNNNNNNNNNNNNNNNNNNNNNNNNNNNNNAAUUUUAGAUAUAUUUAAUAUAUAAAUAUACUUAUUGUAAUGUAAUUUAUAAAUAUUUCUUUAAAAAUUUCAUAAUUUUAUCUUUUAAGGUAUUAUUUAGGUUUGAUUUAGAACUUCUGAAUGCUCCAAUAAGUUUUAUAGCCAUUAAUAUUAGUAAAUUAAAUAAUGCUAGUAAUCAAUACUAAUGCUAACAAAAUACAUGCCAUUAAUAUUAGUAAAUUAAAUAAUGCUAGCAAUCAAUACUAAUGCUAACAAAAGACAUUCAAUUCAAUAUUAUGAACGAGAAUGUACUAAAUGUCUAUUUUUUAUUUUGCAAUAAUUUAAAUAAAAAUACAUAACCUAUUUUUUAUUUUUCUUUAGCUUUUAGGCAUAUAAUUAAUAGUCCCUCAUUAGUCUAUCUAGUUUAGCAUGAAUUAGUGCUUUUAGAUUAUUUUUAGUUUUAUUAUGACUUUUUAAUUAGAAAUAUUUAUAGUACAUAAUUUUAUAUUUUUUAUUUUUGAAUAUUUUAGGAUAAUUGACAUAUCUCAUAUUUUGUAUUAUUUUCUUGAAAAAUACUUUAUAUAGUUGUAUCUUACUAGGAUUAAAGAAAUAUUUUGAGCAUACGUUAUAUAUUUUGUUCUACAAAUAUUUUUUUGGAAAAAAAUUCGAAAAAACCCGAAUAACCCGAGAACCCGAGAAAAACCGAUAUUGAAAAACACGAAUUUAUUGGUUUGGUUUGGUCUUUAGAUUUAAUAACCCGACACAAUUGGUUUGGUUUGGUAAUUGUAAAAUCCGAACCAACUCAGUCUAUGUACACCCCUAGUCGCUACCUACCCAGAUUUUCCAAAUUAAUAACCAAACUUGGUCGCUAUUCCAUUAAAAAAAUAAUUUCUGGAAAUAUAGCGACCAAUUAUGGUCGCUUAUCUUUAAAAAAUAAAUUAAAUUAUUAAAUUUAGCGACCAACUUUGGUCUCUAUUAUCCAGAUUUUAAAAUAUAAUAUUUGGAUUAGAGACCAAAAUUGAUCGCUUUUUAAUAAUUAAUAAUAAAUAAUAAAACGUAUUUCAUAGUUAGAGAUCAACUUUGGUCGCCAAAUUUAUACUAUUAAAUGAAUAUAGCGACCAAAGUUGGCCACUGUAGUCAAAAUCGGAAUAUUUGGCCCUUUUAGCUUAGAGACCAGAGUUGGUCGCUAAAUAGCUACCAACUUUAAUCCCUAAAUAAAAGGGACCAUCAUUAUAGCUACCAGACGUGUUUGGUCACUUUUUGAUCGCUUUUUGUGAUCGUUUUUUUUCUAGAUUUUUAAUGGUGAUACAAGAUAAUGAGUGAUUAUUUUAUUUACUCAAAUGCAACUCGAACUUUUAACUUAAAUUUUAGAAUUAGAGGCGUCUAAUUACUUGUCAGCUAGUUUGUUAUUUUUGUCUCUAAUAUGAGAUCUAGCCGUAUUAAUUAAAGUUUCUAGUCGAGUCAGUGAGUUUCAAAUUUCACAUUGUCAUAAGGAAAAACUUCAAUUUUUUAGAUGAAUUGUGAAAGCGUUGUUAGCUAUGUUUACCUUAAUUUAAGAAGAACAUACUUUCCUACCUUAUACGAGCUCACUAGGGUAUAGAUAACCCCAUAUUCUUGAGUCUUAACCAUUGAAUAGAGUAAAUUUAACACUUGACCUGACAAAAGAAAAAAUACUACUAGUAAAUUGCCCCCAAAAAAGAAAUUAGUUGUCAAAUUUAUGUGACAUUGGAUUGUCAAUUGAGUUAUUGUAGUGGGAAUUUUGACCUUGGAUUACUUACUUGGAACCUACUACCUCGGGAUCCUUUACCAUAUAUAUGUUGCGUAAACCCUAAAAGCUUAAAGUUAUAUUCUUUAGAAUCAUUACUGAUUUUGUUAUGUUCUUGAAAAGUUAAUUCAUUUAAAAUUAUGAAAAGAAAAGGAAAACUGCGAUCUUUCAGCUAAAACACAAGGAUUACGCUUUGAGUCGCAUGACUGAUUCUUAAGGAUAAAGUUAAAUGCAUAUAAUUGUAGUUUUCUGCAAGUGCAUAUAUAAUAAACGUACGGCUCCAGAGAAAAUUACAAAAACUAAAGAAAUACAAAUGAUAAAGAGGAAAUCAGUAUUUAGAAUUAUAUAUUAUGUACGCUUAUAAUUUAAGAAUUUUAGAAUAUUAAUUAAUUUUGAUUACUCUUAUAAAUGAUUAUAUGCGUUAUUUCCGACUAUCAAAUUCACUUACUGUAAAUAGUUACUCGUAUUUUUAAGUGAUAUAAUAAUUCUUUUACUGUAUCAGAAAUUAAACCCUACAAAUUAGAAACAUCCAUCGAACAAAUGAACCCUUUAGCUAAAGUGCUCUAAUUACGGAAGGGACCACUUUCUUCCUCCAUUUUUCCUGUCCCCAUUUGCACCUAAUAAGCAUGAAAAUUGGAGGGAGAGAUAAUCACUCCCAACUCAAAAAUAAAGGAAAAAAAUAUUUAAAAAUUGGAACUAGUAAGAAAUUCAAAAAAAGAAAAAAAAAAGUUACACACACAAAAGAGAGAUAAAGGGUCUCUAUAUAAAGACAGUCCAGUGGAAGUUCACAGCCAUAGAGGAAUUACACAUCUCUCUUAUUCUUUUGCCUAUUCAAAAUGGCACCCAUUGCCAAACAUUUCUCCCUUAUCUUCCUCCUUAUUCUUUUGUCUUCUCUCCAAAUUCAUGCAAGGGACGGUCAAUUCUUCAACAAAGUCUCUAGAAACAAUGGUGAGAAACAGACACAAACAGUUAUUCCAAACAAAGAACAAGAACCUAAUUUCAUGCCAGAGAAUGAAAAUGGAGCCUAUGGUCAUGACUCUGUCACCACUCCUAACACCAACAACCCCACUGUCCACGAUCUUCCUAUCAGCAAAUACCUUCCUAAGAAUUACAAUCCUGUUUCAUAUGUGACUGUCCCUGAGGACAACACUAAUGAAAAUGAUUUGAACAACAAUGAGUUCACAACCAAACACACUACCACCACCACCACUGCCUCUAAUAACAACCAAUUCUACAGUGGUCCCACUGCUUACGGUAACAACAACAACAAUAACCAACAACAGUACUAUAACGGCGUUAGCGAUUAUAGUACUACGAGCAACAACCAGCAGAAACAGCAGCAGUUCUACAGUGGCGACAACUUUUACAGUAACAACCAGCAGCAACAGCAGGACUACAACGGUGGCAACACUUACAACAAUAACGACAACAACAAUGAAGAGGAGGAGGAGUACUACAACAACAAUGGUGGUAAUACUUACAACAACAACAACAACGAGCAACAGGAGUUUAGUGAAACAAGAUUAAGUGCUAGAACUUACAGCACCAACCCAACAAAUUACGGAAACAAUUACAACAACAACAAUCAAGAACAGAGCUACUCCACCAACUACAAUAACUACAAUACUGGCAAAAGUAAUUACAGAGUGCACCAGCAGCAAGGGAUGAGUGACACAAGAUUCUUGGGAAAUGGGAAAUUCUAUUAUGAUAUCAACGCUGAGAAACAUGCUAGGGAUCCAUAUGAAAAUGCAAGAGAAAUUUGCUGCAAUUAACCAACAGUACAACAACAGGAACACCUGUGGAAACAAUGAAUACAACACCAAUAACAACAAUUUUGAGAAUGUACAACAACAGGAACACCUAUGGAAACAAUGAAUACAGCACCAACAACAACAGUUUUGAGAAUGAAGAGGAGUUCCAAGUUGAAGACAACAUGCCUUGAGCUAUUGUUCAACACUUUGAUGAAAACAAAAAAAGUAUCAACAAUAACAGAUUUGAGAAUGAAGAGGAGUUCCAAGUUGAAGACAACAUGCCUUGAGCUUUUGUUCAACACUUUGAUGAAAACAAAAAAAAAGUGAACAUAGUGAGCCAAAAGGAAUGUUAUGUGUCCCACAAUUAUCAUUGAUGUUGUUUUCCUUUUUUUAUCUAAGUUAUAUUUUAUUAGCAAAAUGUUAAUUAAACUACAGAGUUAUUUUUGGGUGUUUUAUGUAUAAUUAUGGUGAAUCUCUACUGAUAUAUGGCUAUGAUUAUAAGGAAUUGUAUUUUUAAUGUGGUGAAAUCGACAGUGAAAAAAAUUGUAGUGAUAAAAAAUCAUUGUGUCAACUAGCUUAUGCCUGUAAGCAAUCUAAUGUCAGUCUGGGUAUUUUACUAGUCUGAAGUAAAAACUGGGCCUAUAAUUAUGUCGCCUAUAUAAUAUUGACCGGAUUAGUAUAAUUCUGCUAGUCUACCAGUGAGAGUGAAGAUGC
RNAcentral lists this long non-coding RNA (23486 nucleotides) under Nicotiana benthamiana. RNAcentral's name for it is "long non-coding RNA (NBEN_LNC025334)". Lineage: Eukaryota; Viridiplantae; Streptophyta; Magnoliopsida; Solanales; Solanaceae. The record is from RNAcentral.